UAGAAAAACAGGACUUGAACCUGUACAAAAGAGCUCAAAACCCUCCGCACUUCCACUAUGCUAUUUUCU
RNAcentral lists this transfer RNA (69 nucleotides) under Madascincus ankodabensis. Its description in RNAcentral is "tRNA-Glx". Lineage: Eukaryota; Metazoa; Chordata; Lepidosauria; Squamata; Scincidae. The record is from RNAcentral.